GAGAUGGAUUGGUGCCUUCGGGAACUGUGAGACAGGUGCUGCAUGGCUGUCGUCAGCUCGUGUUGUGAAAUGUUGGGUUAAGUCCCGCAACGAGCGCAACCCUUAUCCUUUGUUGCCAGCGGUCCGGCCGGGAACUCAAAGGAGACUGCCAGUGAUAAACUGGAGGAAGGUGGGGAUGACGUCAAGUCAUCAUGGCCCUUACGACCAGGGCUACACACGUGCUACAAUGGCGCAUACAAAGAGAAGCGACCUCGCGAGAGCAAGCGGACCUCAUAAAGUGCGUCGUAGUCCGGAUUGGAGUCUGCAACUCGACUCCAUGAAGUCGGAAUCGCUAGUAAUCGUGGAUCAGAAUGCCACGGUGAAUACGUUCCCGGGCCUUGUACACACCGCCCGUCACACCAUGGGAGUGGGUUGCAAAAGAAGUAGGUAGCUUAACCUUCGGGAGGGCGCUUACCACUUUGUGAUUCAUGACUGGGGUGAAGUCGUAACAAGGUAACCGUAGGGGAACCUGCGGUUGGAUCAC
RNAcentral lists this ribosomal RNA (523 nucleotides) under Escherichia coli. RNAcentral describes it as "bacterial SSU rRNA". It matches the Rfam family "Bacterial small subunit ribosomal RNA", at positions 1003 to 1526 of the family's 1533-position model. The record is from RNAcentral. Lineage: Bacteria; Pseudomonadati; Pseudomonadota; Gammaproteobacteria; Enterobacterales; Enterobacteriaceae. RNAcentral also lists the same sequence under 1 other name.